This 527-nucleotide ribosomal RNA is filed under the name uncultured bacterium. Its description in RNAcentral is "bacterial SSU rRNA". It matches the Rfam family "Bacterial small subunit ribosomal RNA", at positions 355 to 894 of the family's 1533-position model. The record is from RNAcentral.
UGGGGAAUAUUGCACAAUGGGCGGAAGCCUGAUGCAGCGACGCCGCGUGGGGGAUGAAGGCCUUCGGGUUGUAAACUCCUUUCGACAGGGACGAAGCUUUUGUGACGGUACCUGUAUAAGAAGCACCGGCUAACUACGUGCCAGCAGCCGCGGUAAUACGUAGGGUGCGAGCGUUGUCCGGAAUUACUGGGCGUAAAGAGCUCGUAGGUGGUUUGUCGCGUCGUCUGUGAAAUUCCGGGGCUUAACUCCGGGCGUGCAGGCGAUACGGGCUGACUUGAGUGCUGUAGGGGAGACUGGAAUUCCUGGUGUAGCGGUGAAAUGCGCAGAUAUCAGGAGGAACACCGAUGGCGAAGGCAGGUCUCUGGGCAGUAACUGACGCUGAGGAGCGAAAGCAUGGGUAGCGAACAGGAUUAGAUACCCUGGUAGUCCAUGCCGUAAACGGUGGGCGCUAGGUGUAGGGGGCUUCCACGUCUUCUGUGCCGUAGCUAACGCAUUANCGCCCCGCCUGGGGAGUACGGCCGCAAGCU